GAUGAACGCUGGCGGCGUGCCUAAUACAUGCAAGUCGAGCGAACGGACGAGAAGCUUGCUUCUCUGAUGUUAGCGGCGGACGGGUGAGUAACACGUGGAUAACCUACCUAUAAGACUGGGAUAACUUCGGGAAACCGGAGCUAAUACCGGAUAAUAUUUUGAACCGCAUGGUUCAAAAGUGAAAGACGGUCUUGCUGUCACUUAUAGAUGGAUCCGCGCUGCAUUAGCUAGUUGGUAAGGUAACGGCUUACCAAGGCAACGAUGCAUAGCCGACCUGAGAGGGUGAUCGGCCACACUCGAACUGAGACACGGUCCAGACUCCUACGGGAGGCAGCAGUAGGGAAUCUUCCGCAAAGGGCGAAAGCCUGACGGAGCAACGCCGCGUGAGUGAUGAAGGUCUUCGGAUCGUAAAACUCUGUUAUUAGGGAAGAACAUAUGUGUAAGUAACUGUGCACAUCUUGACGGUACCUAAUCAGAAAGCCACGGCUAACUACGUG
Molecule: ribosomal RNA, 497 nt
Filed under: uncultured bacterium
Lineage: Bacteria
Description: partial 16S ribosomal RNA
Rfam family: Bacterial small subunit ribosomal RNA
Source: RNAcentral